AAAGUCGUAACAAGGUAACCGUAGGUGAACCUGCGGUUGGAUCAUUAGAAAGGAACAGUUGGCACCUCUGUAUAAGGUGCGGGAGGAUGGAUCGUUGGGGGUUUAACUCCGGCCGGUUGCCGUGGCCAACCGGCCACGGCAACCGGCCAGGGGCCUGCCUGCGAUGGAUGCUCUCACCUCCGUCGUCGUUUUGUUUUAUUUUGUUUUUGUUUUUCUCCUGUCUUUGCUUUUGCAAAGAACUGCAAAGAGAACAACUUUUGGCAACGGAUCUCUUGGCUCUC
Molecule: unclassified non-coding RNA, 281 nt
Filed under: Chytridiomycota sp.
Lineage: Eukaryota; Fungi; Chytridiomycota
Description: partial contains small subunit ribosomal RNA, internal transcribed spacer 1, and 5.8S ribosomal RNA
Rfam family: Eukaryotic small subunit ribosomal RNA (bases 1-47)
Source: RNAcentral